This 468-nucleotide ribosomal RNA is filed under the name uncultured bacterium. RNAcentral's name for it is "partial 16S ribosomal RNA". It matches the Rfam family "Bacterial small subunit ribosomal RNA", at positions 28 to 507 of the family's 1533-position model. The record is from RNAcentral.
GACGAACGCUGGCGGCGGGCCUAACACAUGCAAGUCGAACGGAAAGGCCCUGCUUCUGUCGGUUGCUCGAGCGGCGAACGGGUGAGUAACACGUGUGUGACCUGCCCUUUACUUUGGGAGAAUCUCAGGUAACUGCGGCAACUACCGCCUCGUAGCUCCUGCUGCACGGUGGGGGGUGGAAAGUUGCGGCGGUUGGGGAUGGACGCCCGGCUGAUCAUUUUGCUGGUGGAGUAGUGGCAUACCACGGCUGUGACGGGUCGCCGGCAUGGGAGGGUGAACGGCCUCAUGGGUACUGCGGUACGGCCCAGACUCCUACGUGGGGCAGCAGGGGCGAACAUGACGCAAUGGGCGGGCGUCUGAGGCGGCAACGCCGCGGGCGUAAUGAAGGCUUUGGGGUUGUAAACCGCUUUCGCCUGUGACGAUGCGUCAGUGACGGUAAUCGGUAAAGAAGCACCGGCUAACUCCGUG